RNAcentral lists this signal recognition particle RNA (299 nucleotides) under Saimiri boliviensis boliviensis (Bolivian squirrel monkey). RNAcentral describes it as "Metazoan signal recognition particle RNA (ENSSBOG00000005445.1)". It matches the Rfam family "Metazoan signal recognition particle RNA". Rfam says of the family: The signal recognition particle (SRP) is a universally conserved ribonucleoprotein. It is involved in the co-translational targeting of proteins to membranes. The eukaryotic SRP consists of a 300-nucleotide 7S RNA and six proteins: SRPs 72, 68, 54, 19, 14, and 9. Lineage: Eukaryota; Metazoa; Chordata; Mammalia; Primates; Cebidae. The record is from RNAcentral.
ACUGGGCGCGGUGGCGCAUGCCUGUAGUCCCAGCUACUCAGGAGGCUGAGAUGGGAGGAUCGUUUGAGCCCAGGAGUUCUGGGCUGUGGUGCGGUAUGCCGAUCAGGUAUCCGCACUAAGUUUAGCAUCAAUAUGGUGACCUCCCGGGAGCGGGGAACCACCAGGUUGCCUAAGGAGGGGUGAACCGGCCCACGUUGGAAACGGAUCAGGUCAAAACUCCCAUGCUAAUCAGUAGUGGGAUCAUGCCUGUGAAUAGCCACUGCACUUCAGCCUGGGCAGCAUAGUGAGACCCCAUCUCA